CUGGCUCAGGAUGAACGCUGGCGGCAUGCCUAACACAUGCAAGUCGAACGGAGCUAUCUUAGAAGCUUGCUUCUUUCUUAGCUUAGUGGCGGACGGGUGAGUAACGCGUGAAGAACCUGCCCUUAAGUGGGGAAUAACACCGAGAAAUCGGUGCUAAUACCGCAUAAAAUCUCUGGAUCGCAUGUUCCUGGAGAUCAAAGGAUUUAUUCGCUUAAGGAUGGCUUCGCGUCCGAUUAGUUAGUUGGUGAGGUAACGGCUCACCAAGACCGCGAUCGGUAGCCGAACUGAGAGGUUGAUCGGCCACAUUGGGACUGAGACACGGCCCAGACUCCUACGGGAGGCAGCAGUGGGGAAUAUUGGGCAAUGGGGGAAACCCUGACCCAGCAAUGCCGCGUGAAGGAUGAAGGUCUUCGGAUUGUAAACUUCUUUGAUUGGGGAAGAAUAAAGUGACCUACCCAAAGAACAAGUCACGGCUAACUACGUGCCAGCAGCCGCGGUAAUACGUAGGUGACAAGCGUUAUCCGGAUUUACUGGGUGUAAAGGGCGUGUAGGCGGCUUUGCAAGUCAGAU
This 570-nucleotide ribosomal RNA is filed under the name Ruminococcaceae bacterium YRB3002. RNAcentral describes it as "bacterial SSU rRNA". It matches the Rfam family "Bacterial small subunit ribosomal RNA", at positions 19 to 593 of the family's 1533-position model. Lineage: Bacteria; Bacillati; Bacillota; Clostridia; Eubacteriales; Oscillospiraceae. The record is from RNAcentral.